UAGAGUUUGAUCAUGGCUCAGGAUGAACGCUGGCGGCAUGCCUAACACAUGCAAGUCGAACGGGGUUUAUAUAACAGAACUCUCCGGAGGGAAGAUAUAUAAACCUAGUGGCGGACGGGUGAGUAACGCGUGGGCAACCUGCCCUGUACCGGGGGACAACAGCCAGAAAUGGCUGCUAAUACCGCAUAAGCCUGCUGUGCCGCAUGGCACAGCAGGGAAAACCACGGUGGUACAGGAUGGGCCCGCGUCUGAUUAGUUAGUUGGCAGGGUAACGGCCUACCAAGACAACGAUCAGUAGCCGGCUUGAGAGAGUGGACGGCCACAUUGGGACUGAGACACGGCCCAGACUCCUGCGGGAGGCAGCAGUGGGGAAUAUUGCACAAUGGGGGGAACCCUGAUGCAGCAAUGCCGCGUGGGUGAAGAAGCACUUCGGUGCGUAAAGCCCUGUCAGCAGGGAAGAAAAUGACAGUACCUGGACAAGAAGCCCCGGCUAACUACGUGCCAGCAGCCGCGGUAAUACGUAGGGGGCAAGCGUUAUCCGGAUUUACUGGGUGUAAAGGGAGCGCAGGCGGCGUGGCAAGUCAGAUGUGAAAACCCGGGGCCCAACCCCGGGAGUGCAUUUGAAACUGCCAUGCUGGAGUGCCGGAGAGGUAAGCGGAAUUCCUAGUGUAGCGGUGAAAUGCGUAGAUAUUAGGAGGAACACCAGUGGCGGAGGCGGCUUACUGGACGGUAACUGACGCUGAGGCUCGAAAGCGUGGGGAGCAAACAGGAUUAGAUACCCUGGUAGUCCACGCCG
RNAcentral lists this ribosomal RNA (796 nucleotides) under uncultured bacterium. RNAcentral's name for it is "bacterial SSU rRNA". It matches the Rfam family "Bacterial small subunit ribosomal RNA", at positions 1 to 802 of the family's 1533-position model. The record is from RNAcentral.